GACGAACGCUGGCGGCGUGCUUAACACAUGCAAGUCGAACGGAAAGGCCCUGCUUUUGUGGGGUGCUCGAGUGGCGAACGGGUGAGUAACAAGUGAGUAACCUGCCCUUGACUUUGGGAUAACUUCAGGAAACUGGGGCUAAUACCGGAUAGGAGCUCCUGCUGCAUGGUGGGGGUUGGAAAGUUUCGGCGGUUGGGGAUGGACUCGCGGCUUAUCAGCUUGUUGGUGGGGUAGUGGCUUACCAAGGCUUUGACGGGUAGCCGGCCUGAGAGGGUGACCGGCCACAUUGGGACGGAGAUACGGCCCAGACUCCUACGGGAGGCAGCAGUGGGGAAUAUUGCACAAUGGGCGGAAGCCUGAUGCAGCAACGCCGCGUGCGGGAUGACGGCCUUCGGGUUGUAAACCGCUUUCGCCUGUGACGAAGCGUGAGUGACGGUAAUGGGUAAAGAAGCACCGGCUAACUACGUG
Molecule: ribosomal RNA, 468 nt
Filed under: uncultured bacterium
Lineage: Bacteria
Description: partial 16S ribosomal RNA
Rfam family: Bacterial small subunit ribosomal RNA
Source: RNAcentral